RNAcentral lists this long non-coding RNA (211 nucleotides) under Hordeum vulgare. Its description in RNAcentral is "long non-coding RNA (HVUL_LNC000894)". Lineage: Eukaryota; Viridiplantae; Streptophyta; Magnoliopsida; Poales; Poaceae. The record is from RNAcentral.
CUCAUUGGUCAUUCAUCUUUCCCGAUCUAGUGCCAUCGUUCUUCAAGGUGCCGGAGGGUUUGAAGCAUACCUACUACCCCUCCCCUGAGCUUAGUUCAGAGUUGCCUCAGCGCGCUCGAGUAAUAACUGGGAAAAUCAAGGCUGGACAGGUCUUCAAGCCAACUUCAGGAAGAAAAACCAAGUGAAAGAAGAAGUGCUAAAGUGCACAGCC